CUUUAUGGGCGCCGACAAAUUUUUAUAAAUGACGACUUGUCGAAGACAGGAGCCUUAGUUCAGACACGAAUCCCGGCGUCAGUUUUCGUCAAAACGAAUUUAGCUACAAAAAAUCUCGACUUUCAAACUCAUCUCGGAAUCAUUCCGGGAAUCUUGUAAGAAUGAUGAUGAAGUUAAUUAUCGCCGCUCUAGCUGUAGCGCUGCUUAUGUCCACAGCGGAGGCCUUAUGUCGAAUCGAACAUGAGCACCAUUGCGGCAGCAUCGACGGCCAGUAUCACUUCGAGGCCUGCACCUAUGGUUGUGGUUUCACGGGACUUUACAUGGACUGGUGUUUCAACUUUGUUCACCACCCCGACCCAUCCCUGGACAAGUGCCUGGAUCACUGUUCGGAUAUAGAGGAUUGUAAACUCGCGCCAUUGCCAAUGUCAUGUCCAGCAGGGUGGACGACUUGUUAGGAACAUAUACAUUGUUCAGGAAAGUCCUAUAUUCCCGGGACAUGUAUCCGAAAGGAAAUAAAAAUUGUGAUUUA
This is a long non-coding RNA of Lineus longissimus, 529 nucleotides long. RefSeq lists it as uncharacterized. Lineage: Eukaryota; Metazoa; Nemertea; Pilidiophora; Heteronemertea; Lineidae. The record is from RefSeq and is a predicted model, not a curated record. The transcript has 2 exons.